UCAGAGCGUAGAGCCACAGGAAGCUGCCAGAAUUAGUGCAAAAGGUCCUUGAGUUCUUUGUGAUUAUGGGCGUUAUGAAACGGCUGCCUCGGGAGGCCCCGGUUUACUAGUGCGCGUGGCUUCUUGCGCAAACGCCCAGAAACCACGGUCAAACCCACCUGCCCCGCUCUGUUUAGUUAAGGUGUUCACUCCCUCUAUAAACCGCUCCCCUCCUACCUCUUUAGCUCUCAGCCUAGUAGUUUGCCACAAAGAGCCAAUCAGAAACUUCCUGGCUCGAGACACGCCCAAGCUUGCUCCUAGUGAUCUCCAGCUUGGGGCUCUCUGAGUCCCCAGGCACUAGAGUGGGUGGCAACUGUGGCUGGUGCUUUCGAUUUCCAGGGUGGUUGCUAUCCUAAAAGGACUUUCGUCUUCCGGCAGAUGGUACCGCAGUAAGCUCCCUGAAACCUGUCUUUGCAGGGUCCAGUGCCGUUGAAAUGUUCCGCUAGCAGGGACUUGAUCCAACCUGCCAUCUGGAGCUCGUUGUGCGAAGGAUUUCAGCUGCUGGAGUAAACGAGUGUUUUUAUCUCAACAAGGUAGAGAAGGGCAGAAGAGAGUUCAAAGUUAACCGUGAUACAUCACCCUUCACCUGCUUCUCUAUUUCAAGUGUGCUCAUUUACUAGUAUAUAAGAACAGUCCUGGGCCUUCCGAUACUGGCAAACAGAAAGAUCAGAGGAGCCCUUUUCUUAAAGAGUUUAAGCGCUGCAGAAAUAAAUACGCUAGCGAUAGAUGAUAGACAGGCAAAUCGAGAAGCACCCCCAAACCUAAAAAUACAAAACAAAACCAAAAACCAACCAUCGAUGACAAUAAAGGACAAGGUACUCUGCUCAAUAAAACUGUCUCCAUUCACUCUGGACUUUAUGAAGAAUGUGAGAGUGUUUGAGCAGGAAGACUGAGCCCACACCAAGGUUAUAAAGCAGUUGCCAUUUACUAAGCCGUCUGUGUAAAGGUGGUUCUCUGCACGUUGGACAGGCCACAGAACAACUUCAGCUCUUCUGGUGACUUCCAGGUUUCACACUACGGAGGCUCUUACUGUGUCCCUGAGGUUGCUCUGUAGAUUAUAUUUCUUGAUUCUUCACCCAAUGUCUGCAAUCCAAUUACACUGACUCAAGCCUUACCAGGAUCCUUUAGAACAAUCAACAAGCAAUCAUUUAGAACCACAAAACAUUUUACCAAAAGGAGUGAGCGCUUAGCUUGAAAGUGUACGGAAUUCAGACACGAGUUGCAGAAAUUUCCUGCUUCUUUUUGCCAUUGUGUCUGUUGGCUGCAGUCCAUCUGCUGCUGGAACUUCUAACAGUUCCCUGAAAAGCAUAGCACUCUUGCCAGCUACGGGCUCUGCUUGGCUACUCCUUCCUGCAAAAUGCUGCCUUCAUUAUUUUUUUCCUCCCAUAUGUCUGCCUCUCACCAGGUGAUUUCUUCAUCCUGUUGGGACAGACGGAGGGGUGAUCACUUCUGAGUUUUAGAAGGGAGUUACAAUUUGCAGAUUGAGAUUUGACGCAAAUGCUCACUGUUAGCUGCCUUGGAAAUUUCCUGUGCUGAUUCUUCCUGUGUUUCACUAUAAUUGCUUCCACCUCACUUGCAUGUUGGCUAUGUUAGAACAUCUUCUCCCUCCCAUAACCUGGAGAAGGCAUGUGCAGACAAAUGAUCAAUCAAAAUAGCUCAAACAUGCUGAGUUUUCAUAACUUAAUAAAGGAAUUGGAGUUCAACCACA
This is a non-coding RNA of Rattus norvegicus (Norway rat), 1747 nucleotides long. The record is from RefSeq and is a predicted model, not a curated record. NCBI's taxonomy places the organism in Eukaryota, Metazoa, Chordata, Mammalia, Rodentia, Muridae.